RNAcentral lists this unclassified non-coding RNA (240 nucleotides) under soil metagenome. RNAcentral describes it as "partial contains 5.8S ribosomal RNA, internal transcribed spacer 2, and large subunit ribosomal RNA". The record is from RNAcentral.
AAGACUAUAGACCUGCGGAGUACCUGCGGAAGGAUCAUUAACGUAUCUAUGAUGGGGUGCGGAGCGCCCUGCUCCGGUCGAACGGCCGUGCAGCGGGUGCGCCGCCCCCGUCCCACCUCACAAACCCACUGUGAACAUUCACCGGUGGAGGGGGCUCGGUCUGCGCCGUGUCCCCGAUGCCGAAUACCCAUACUCCAGUUGCAAAGAACGUCGUGCGGACUCGGUGCCGCCUAAAACAUG